GACGAAUGCUGGCGGCGUGCUUAACACAUGCAAGUCGAACGGAAAGGCCCUGCUUGCAGGGUACUCGAGUGGCGAACGGGUGAGUAACACGUGGGUGAUCUGCCCUGCACUUCGGGAUAAGCCUGGGAAACUGGGUCUAAUACCGGAUAGGAGCCAUUUUUAGUGUGAUGGUUGGAAAGUUUUUUCGGUGUAGGAUGAGCUCGCGGCCUAUCAGCUUGUUGGUGGGGUAAUGGCCUACCAAGGCGGCGACGGGUAGCCGGCCUGAGAGGGUGGACGGCCACAUUGGGACUGAGAUACGGCCCAGACUCCUACGGGAGGCAGCAGUGGGGAAUAUUGCACAAUGGGCGCAAGCCUGAUGCAGCGACGCCGCGUGGGGGAUGACGGCCUUCGGGUUGUAAACUCCUUUCGCUAGGGACGAAGCUUUUGUGACGGUACCUAGAUAAGAAGCACCGGCUAACUACGUG
This 464-nucleotide ribosomal RNA is filed under the name uncultured bacterium. RNAcentral describes it as "partial 16S ribosomal RNA". It matches the Rfam family "Bacterial small subunit ribosomal RNA", at positions 28 to 507 of the family's 1533-position model. The record is from RNAcentral.